GCGCACUCCGGCAGCCCAUAUGCUUUGAUUGGAACAGUGCAGAGAUUAGCACGGCUCCUGUACAAGGAUGUUAUGAAAAUCUGUGAAGCGUUCCACAUGAAA
Small nuclear RNA from Molossus molossus (Pallas's mastiff bat), 102 nucleotides. NCBI's taxonomy places the organism in Eukaryota, Metazoa, Chordata, Mammalia, Chiroptera, Molossidae. The record is from RefSeq and is a predicted model, not a curated record.